UACGUAGGGGGCUAGCGUUGUCCGGAAUCAUUGGGCGUAAAGCGCGUGUAGGCGGUCCGAUAAGUUCGCUGUGAAAGUCGGGGGCUCAACCCUCGGAUGCCGGUGAAUACUGUCGGGCUUGAGUACGGAAGAGGCGAGUGGAAUUCCUGGUGUAGCGGUGAAAUGCGCAGAUAUCAGGAGGAACACCAAUUGCGAAGGCAGCUCGCUGGGACGGUACUGACGCUGAGACGCGAAAGCGUGGGGAGCAAACAGG
This 253-nucleotide ribosomal RNA is filed under the name uncultured bacterium. RNAcentral's name for it is "partial 16S ribosomal RNA". It matches the Rfam family "Bacterial small subunit ribosomal RNA", at positions 524 to 776 of the family's 1533-position model. The record is from RNAcentral.